RNAcentral lists this ribosomal RNA (447 nucleotides) under uncultured bacterium. Its description in RNAcentral is "partial 16S ribosomal RNA". It matches the Rfam family "Bacterial small subunit ribosomal RNA", at positions 29 to 523 of the family's 1533-position model. The record is from RNAcentral.
AGCGAACGCUGGCGGCAGGCCUAAUACAUGCAAGUCGAACGGCUCUUCGGAGCAGUGGCGGACGGGUGAGUAACGCGUGGGAAUAUGCCCUUAGGUAAGGAACAACACAUGGAAACUUGUGCUAACACCGUAUGUGCCCUUCGGGGGAAAGAUUUAUCGCCUUUGGAGCAACCCGCGUUGGAUUAGGUAGUUGGUGGGGUAAAGCCACACCAAACCGAUGAACCAUAGCUGCUCGGAGAGGAUGACCAGACAAACUGGGACUGAGACACGGCCCAGACUCCUACGGGGGGCAGCAGUAGGGAAUCUUGCGCAAUGGGCGAAAGCCUGACGCAGCCAUGCCGCGCGUAUGAUGAAGGUCUUAGGAUUGUAAAAUACUUUCACCGGGGAAGAUAAUGACGGUACCCGGAGAAGAAGCCCCGGCUAACUUCGUGCCAGCAGCCGCCGUAA